AGUGAACGCUGGCGGUAGGCCUAACACAUGCAAGUCGAACGGCAGCACAGUAAGAGCUUGCUCUUACGGGUGGCGAGUGGCGGACGGGUGAGGAAUACAUCGGAAUCUACUUUUUCGUGGGGGAUAACGUAGGGAAACUUACGCUAAUACCGCAUACGACCUACGGGUGAAAGCAGGGGAUCUUCGGACCUUGCGCGAUUGAAUGAGCCGAUGUCAGAUUAGCUAGUUGGCGGGGUAAAGGCCCACCAAGGCGACGAUCCGUAGCUGGUCUGAGAGGAUGAUCAGCCACACUGGAACUGAGACACGGUCCAGACUCCUACGGGAGGCAGCAGUGGGGAAUAUUGGACAAUGGGCGCAAGCCUGAUCCAGCCAUACCGCGUGGGUGAAGAAGGCCUUCGGGUUGUAAAGCCCUUUUGUUGGGAAAGAAAAGCAGCAGGUUAAUACGCCGCUGUUCUGACGGUACCCAAAGAAUAAGCACCGGCUAACUUCGUG
RNAcentral lists this ribosomal RNA (492 nucleotides) under uncultured bacterium. RNAcentral's name for it is "partial 16S ribosomal RNA". It matches the Rfam family "Bacterial small subunit ribosomal RNA", at positions 29 to 507 of the family's 1533-position model. The record is from RNAcentral.